CAUUGAUACUCAUUUAAAAAUGGAUAAAUGGAGUAAAGCAUCAAGCUACAGGGAGGUGGUCUAAAAGAUUCCCUUACUCUCUAAAAUCUCAGUUCUGGCAACCUGCUUCCGUAUCUGAGAUGAUCACAUUUUAACUUUUUAAAAAAUUUUAUUGCAGUGAAGUUACUGGAAGAGGAACAGGGUAUGCUGGAAGGACUCCUUCAUAGGAAGCCAAAGACCCUGGCUGUUUCCCAAGAGUACUGGGUGAGACUGUGAAGGAGGUGGGCUUAUUUGAGUGGAUGGAGAGAUAGCUUGUUUCUGCUCGGGCAGAGCUCCACAGACCAGCUGGCAGAUCAAUCAGUGAUACUACAGCCUUGAAAGAAAAUUCAAGAAUACAGAAAACAGACAUCGUAAGAAGCAAGGUUACUCCUUUCAUCAGUAACUGAAAGGAAUGAAAAAUGAUUGUAUGGAUUCACGUUACUUGGCUUCAGGUACCCUAUUUGUAAAGAAACAGGUUUAUUAUGUCUGGCAUGUUCAGAAAACCCAGGAAAGACUUCCCAGCAACCUGCAGGGUUUACGAUGCAUUAUGUUACCACAGCAUUCUUCCAAAACUCUCCUUCUGGAAUUGAUUUGUCUAGAGACCGACUGGCUUCUUUAAAAUCAAAAGUAAGCUGUCAACACAUCAUAAUGGCAUUUUUUUGGAGGGAAGAUUGGUGGUGUAAAUGGCCUGAAGAUGCAGGG
Molecule: long non-coding RNA, 720 nt
Filed under: Mustela putorius furo (domestic ferret)
Lineage: Eukaryota; Metazoa; Chordata; Mammalia; Carnivora; Mustelidae
Description: lncRNA (ENSMPUG00000028681.1)
Source: RNAcentral